CGUUGUUCCAAGCGUCGCUGUCGCUGGUCCCACCCGCGGGCAGCUGUUACCGCUUGGCUUUCCGCCGCCUGUCAGCGCUUUCGUCUGGUUAGUCGGUUCUUUUGGAGGUCAACGCUGCGGAGAGGAACGACCAGCAAAAAUACGGUGGAGCUGAGCAACGGCCGCCGGGUUCAGUCUGCCUCUUCCAAGCUCGCCCCCCAUUCAUCGCGGGAGGUGCCUAAUCGAGCUCCACCGCCUCCGCCUUUGUGCCGCCGGGUUCAGUCUGCCUCUUCCAAGCCCGCCCCCAUUCAAGGCGGGAGGUGCCAAAUCGAGCUCCACCGCCUCGGGCUUUGGCGCCGACGGCGGCAAGGAGCGGCACACGGGGAGGCAGCGCAGCGAGGCACUACCCCAGUGCUCCAACACCGAGGCGACGACCAGCGGCCGCUGGCCGUGCUGCCAUUCGCCCCGAAGUUGUUCUGUUCCUACUGCGGCUGCCGCUGUGCCGCAUCGACGAGGGGCUCCACCACGCGGACGUCGUUUGCGGCAGUGGGUCAGGUGGUGAUUGGCCUCACCCUCCCACCUCUGGUUGCAGCGCAGCAGCAUCUUUGGCGUGUGUCGCGUCCGUCGGCACAGCUAGCUCCUCCGAAUCAUGGUUCAGAUGUGCACUUCAAGUGUUUGUUGGAAUGCCUAAAGAGAGAUUGUGUAUAAUAAAUCAGCGAGCAAUACCCAAAUACAAGCCAAUGGGCAUGUUGAUAGCCAUGUGUACUGGGAUCCUUUCGCAGGCGUAUUUUGUACUCCCUCCAUCACCUUCCUCAUUAUCCAAUCUGCCGGUCUAGAACAGAUUGCGCCUCCCAUUUCCAUAGGAUCGUUGUAAAUAGAUACGGUUGGAGGAUAAUAUAUAGAUGGAAAUGGUUCCAACAUCUACAUGAAUAUAUGCAACCCUGCCCCUUUUUCCUUUCAGCAGGUUCUCAAGUGAAUUGCUUGUGGUGCUAACAUGGUACAAAUAUUUAAUUUCAAAGAUUCUUAUUUGGGUAGAACAAGUAGUAUAUUUCUUUCACUUUUCUGUUAAUGUUACGAUGAAUUCAUUUUAGCUGUCGUUUGUCUCGCGAUUUAUUUCCUUCACGUGCCUUAGUGCCUUCAAAGAAUUUAUCUUUCGCUUGCUCGCAAAAAAGGUUAUCUAUUAUGCAGUCUUGGACUAAAUACAUCAAUUUUCUCCGGUUGUGCAAAUGUAAUAUAUGACUGAUUCAUACUGAAGACAAAACAUUUUAGAAACGUGUAGUAACACUCGGGUUCUAUCUAUUUCUUAGAUGCGUUUUCUUUCUUGCAUCACGUCCGAAUGGUAGCAGUUCGCGAAAAUCUUAGAUUGCGUGAACCAGCGUCAUUUUAUCAUGGAAAAUAAACAAAAAAAAUUAUAAACUACGAGUGCACCAAGCCAAAUUAUUAAUGCCGAGUUGCUAGAGGAAGGAGGGAAGAGAAAUUAUCACGUAUUUUUUACCACUGUGCUCGAAUAACGUCUGACGAACCAGUGUUCUUGCAGGCCAUCAGAAACCUACUGGCUUGCAAAUCGGGUGCUUAUCAUUUUUUAGGGGAUUGAAUAUUCAUUGGGCUAGAGGGGAGGGAAUGCUUGAGAAUCUUGUGAUCUUGGAGUAUUGAAAUUUCUUGCUCUUUUUUUUGCUGGUUUGAUCCGAACACGCAUUACGGUGGAAUGGAGGUUGAUUUGAGCAAAUUUCACUUGGUUCUGCUUGAGUCCCCACAAUGUUGGGAUGAUGUGUUGUACUGGAAUAUGGUGUUCGUGUGUAUGGAAAUGCGCUUCCACUUGGUACUUCUUAAUCCCCCACAAUUUGGGAUGAUGUGUUGUACUGGAAUAUGUUGUUCGUGUGUAUGGAAAUGCGGGAGCCUCAAGCAUCCGUAAUUGCUCUCGCUUGAACUGGUGUAGAAUAUUAGGAAAAUUUAAGUGAAAAUAAUUGUCAUUAAGUACAUAUGUUUUUAUUUUGCCAUUCUUCUUUGUGUGAAUAUUUACUCUUAAUUUUUAGGCACAAGAAAACUAAGUUGCGUCGUAAAGCAAUACUGGAUACACUACACUCCUUAACCAACUUUGGUCAGCAGCAGAUUGUGUGGUGUAUGUUAUGUUUUCUGUCAUUUGGGGGUUCAUUUCCUCCUUUCAUGUGUUAUUUGUUUUCUUACCCAGUUGUAGGUCUGGUGGCGUUGUGGUUGUUGGUAAUGGAAUGAUUCCAGGCCGCUUGAGGUUCUUGCCCUCAUGUUUACAGCAUCGUCAUCUGCGCUGCCAUUGCCUACGUCUCCUACUAGGUUAAUACUCUUACAACAUGAGUUUCUAGCUCCAAUUUGUUGAAAAGGCAUGGUUUGUAAGCAGUGAAAGAGCCCCGCCAAAGAAUAUUAACUCAAAAGAAGAAAAAAAAUUGAGAAUUUACAGCAGGAGAGUUUCCUACCGUGUACUUUAUUAUCAAAAGAUUAUUAUAUAAAGAGGCCUAUGUACAAGGUCCACCAACGUCGAACCCAAAAAGUCCUAACCUAACAGAUAGAGAAACAACUUUGUGUCAACAUUUAUUGACUUACAAGAUAGAAAAGGGAGAGUUGCUACAGAAAUAUAUGGGCGAUCAGGUCCUUGAGUGGUGAUUGGAGGUUUUCUUUGACUCUGCAGCCAAUGAUGGUGAGGACUUGGGAAAAUUGUAUCUGAAUAUUAGUAUAACUCUCUAGAUAUUGCUGCCUAUGAAAAAACAUGUUGCUUCUGCACGUGAUUUGAGCUCAGAGGGUUAGGUGUACUAUUUUCAGUACUUUGAAGUUAUGUCUAUUAAAAGUACUCCCUCCAUCUCAAAAUAAGUUGCUUAACUUUUUGUAGAUACGGAUGUCUAUAACUAAAAUGUGUCUAUAUACUUUCAUAUAUAGACUAAGUUGUGCAAGUUAUUUUGAGACGGAGAUAGUAGUUUGUCUGUCCAUAGAUUUGAGCUAUUUUUCACAUCAUGCACUAUUGUUUUAACCUAUAAGCAUUGUACCAUACACUUACCAUGUGUACUACUGCAAUACAAGGUUAUUCAAAGACAGAAUUGACACCGUUAUGUAUAAUAUGUUGUUAGACAAAAGAAUAGCCACUCCAAAAAAUUAAACGUUGGUACCAGAGGACGGCGCAGCAAAGCGCGCUGGGUCCAUCUAGUGUAAACCAAAAGACAAAGGUGGCUUAGGGGUUCUUAAUAUGAAAACUCAAAACCAAGGUCUUCUGCUAAAAUUUUUGGACAAAUUCUAUAACCAGAAGGAUAUUCAGUGGGUGAAACUUAUUUGGUCUACAUAUUACCAGACUUCUAUAUCUCAUGCUACUAAUGCUUGUGGGUCUUUCUGGUGGAAGGCUGUUAUGAAAUUAUCACCGAUUUUCAGAGGAAUUGCACAUUGCAAAAUAGGUAAGGGAGACACAUCCCUGUUUUGGAAAGAUGAAUGGAGUAAUGGAAUUUUGCAUGAUCUAUACCCAUGUCUAUUCUCCUAUGUGCAAAAUGAAGAUAUUUCAGUUAAGGAAUUCUGCUCUACAAUUGAUAUCUCUGAUAUUUUUCAUCUACCAUUAUCUUCGGAAGCUUUCCAACAAUUUCAGCAAAUACAACAAUUCACACAGCAGCUAAAUCUAUCUCAAAGUAAUAAUGAUGUCUGGACAUUCCAAUGGGGGGAUUCCUAUACUUCCAGGUGUGGAGGAAACUCUGGAGCACUUAUUCUUCGCAUGUCCUUUUAGUACCUCAUGCUGGUGUACAUUAAAUAUUACAUGGAAUGGAGGUUUCGAAAGAAUUGAUAAGAUUACUGAGGCCAAAGCAAAUUUCCAGGGGAAGCUUUUCUUUGAAGUAUUUGUUAUAGCUGCUUGGGGGAUUUGGAAAGAAAGAAACAAUUGGAUAUUUAAAAAUAUAGUUCCCUCAAGAGCCUCCUGGAAGGAAAGAGUAAUAGCUGAUUUAAGUUUGUUAAGGUUUAAGGUUAACCAAAACCUACAAAGCACAAUCUCCUCUUAUAUAAGUAGAAUUUGAUUCAGCAGUUUAAACCUUUGUAAAGUGGGUGUAUGCACCCGAGAUGAUGUAAAUAUUAUGGUUUUAAUAUAGUGCAGUAGGAGCCUCUCCUACUAUUUA
Long non-coding RNA from Lolium perenne, 4091 nucleotides. RefSeq lists it as uncharacterized. The record is from RefSeq and is a predicted model, not a curated record. NCBI's taxonomy places the organism in Eukaryota, Viridiplantae, Streptophyta, Magnoliopsida, Poales, Poaceae.